RNAcentral lists this ribosomal RNA (66 nucleotides) under Coprinopsis sp. 'igarashii'. RNAcentral describes it as "partial 28S ribosomal RNA". The stretch from base 10 to 66 matches the Rfam family "Eukaryotic large subunit ribosomal RNA", at positions 1 to 57 of the family's 3401-position model. The record is from RNAcentral. Lineage: Eukaryota; Fungi; Basidiomycota; Agaricomycetes; Agaricales; Psathyrellaceae.
UGACAAACUUGACCUCAAAUCAGGUAAGACUACCCGCUGAACUUAAGCAUAUCAAUAAGCGGAGGA